UACAGCCAUAUCAUGUUUAAACAUUGGUUCCCAUAUGAUCACUGAAGUUAAGCAACAUUGAGCAUGGUCAGUACCUAGAUGGGUGACCACUUGGGAAUAUCUGGUGCUGUAAG
This is a non-coding RNA of Acanthosepion pharaonis, 113 nucleotides long. Lineage: Eukaryota; Metazoa; Mollusca; Cephalopoda; Sepiida; Sepiidae. The record is from the annotation of a GenBank genome assembly.